This 228-nucleotide ribosomal RNA is filed under the name Triticum aestivum (bread wheat). Its description in RNAcentral is "partial small subunit ribosomal RNA". Lineage: Eukaryota; Viridiplantae; Streptophyta; Magnoliopsida; Poales; Poaceae. The record is from RNAcentral.
AGGCUACAUAAUGAAAACUUCAUUCUUGAUUCUAUGAGAAUUUUUAUGAAAGCGUUUCAUUUGCUUCUCUUCAAUGAAAGUUUCAUUUUUGCAUAAUGUAUCCUAAGUUUUGGCCUAAUUCUUCUGAUGAUGAUCGAUUCAACCUCUGAUAAAAAAGAUAGACCUUGGUUCUAUUUCGUCUCUCCAACAAGUUUAGUAAUAAGCAUAACAGCCCUAUUGUUACGAUGA